CAAUAGCGUAUAUUAAAGUUGUUGCAGUUAAAACGCUCGUAGUCGGAUUUCGGGGCGGGCGGGCCGGUCUGCCGAUGGGUAUGCACUGGUCUGGCCGUCCUUCCUUCCGGAGACCGUGCGUGCUCUUAACUGAGUGCGCUCGGGAGACGGAUCGUUUACUUUGAAAAAAUCAGAGUGUUUCAAGCAGGCAGCUCGCUCUUGCAUGGAUUAGCAUGGGAUAAUGAAAUAGGACUUUGGUGCUAUUUUGUUGGUUUCGAACACCGAAGUAAUGAUUAACAGGGACAGUCAGGGGCACUCGUAUUCCGCCGAGAGAGGUGAAAUUCUCAGACCAGCGGAAGACGAACCACUGCGAAAGCAUUUGCCAGGGAUGUUUUCACUGA
RNAcentral lists this ribosomal RNA (380 nucleotides) under uncultured eukaryote. Its description in RNAcentral is "partial 18S ribosomal RNA". It matches the Rfam family "Eukaryotic small subunit ribosomal RNA", at positions 592 to 976 of the family's 1831-position model. The record is from RNAcentral.